This is a non-coding RNA of Oryza barthii, 213 nucleotides long. Lineage: Eukaryota; Viridiplantae; Streptophyta; Magnoliopsida; Poales; Poaceae. The record is from Rfam.
AAUAAGUGCAGUUUUGUACUAUUCACGUUCAAUGUUUGACCGUUCGUCUUAUUUAAAACUUUUUUUAUGAUUAGUAUUUUUAUUGCUAUUAGAUGAUAAAACAUGAAUAAUACUUUACGUGUGACUAAAUAUUUUCAAAUUUUUCACAAAAUUAUCAAAUAAGAUAGACGUACGGUCAAACGUUGGAGACGGAUAUCUACGGCUGUACUUAUU